GAUGAACGCUAGCGGCAGGCCUAACACAUGCAAGUCGAGGGGUAACAGGGGAAAGCUUGCUUUCCCGCUGACGACCGGCGAACGGGUGCGUAACACGUAUGUAAUCUGCCUCUUACAGGGGGAUAGCCCAGAGAAAUCUGGAUUAAUACCCCAUAAUAUCAUUGGAUCGCCUGAUUUGAUGAUUAAAGAAUUUCGGUAAGAGAUGAGCAUGCGUCCGAUUAGCUAGUUGGUGAGGUAACGGCUCACCAAGGCUACGAUCGGUAGGGGUUCUGAGAGGAUGAUCCCCCACACUGGUACUGAGACACGGACCAGACUCCUACGGGAGGCAGCAGUGAGGAAUAUUGGGCAAUGGACGCAAGUCUGACCCAGCCAUGCCGCGUGCAGGAUGACUGCCCUAUGGGUUGUAAACUGCUUUUAUACGAGAAGAAACCCCCCAACGUGUUGGGGGCUGACGGUAUCGUAUGAAUAAGCACCGGCUAACUCCGUG
RNAcentral lists this ribosomal RNA (487 nucleotides) under uncultured organism. RNAcentral describes it as "bacterial SSU rRNA". It matches the Rfam family "Bacterial small subunit ribosomal RNA", at positions 28 to 507 of the family's 1533-position model. The record is from RNAcentral.